Small nuclear RNA from Heterocephalus glaber (naked mole-rat), 98 nucleotides. Its record names the gene U2. It matches the Rfam family "U2 spliceosomal RNA". Rfam says of the family: U2 is a small nuclear RNA (snRNA) component of the spliceosome (involved in pre-mRNA splicing). Complementary binding between U2 snRNA (in an area lying towards the 5' end but 3' to hairpin I) and the branchpoint sequence (BPS) of the intron results the bulging out of an unpaired adenosine, on the BPS, which initiates a nucleophilic attack at the intronic 5' splice site, thus starting the first of two transesterification reactions that mediate splicing. NCBI's taxonomy places the organism in Eukaryota, Metazoa, Chordata, Mammalia, Rodentia, Bathyergidae. The record is from Ensembl.
AUCGCUUCUCAGCCUUUUGGCUAAGAUCAAGUGUAGAAAGAAUUCUUAUAAUUUAAUUAGACAUAUUGACUAAAAAGAGAAAGCAAUUUCAAGUCUAU